This 106-nucleotide small nuclear RNA is filed under the name Myripristis murdjan (pinecone soldierfish). Lineage: Eukaryota; Metazoa; Chordata; Actinopteri; Holocentriformes; Holocentridae. The record is from RNAcentral.
GUGUUACUCUGGUAGCACAUAUACUAAAAUUGGAACGAUACAGAGAAGAUUAGCAUGGCCCCUGCGCAAGGAAGACAUGCAAAUUCGUGAAGCGUUCUCAUUUUCC